UUUUAUUACUGAUGUAAGAAUUAAGAUUAGUGACAAUAGCUCUUUAUUGAGUGUUAACUAUAUGACACUGGAUCCUCAACCGACUGAACAGGGCCAGGAAUCCAACCCUCAUCUUCGUGGAUACUAGUCGGAUUCCGUCUGUAUCUCUGAGCCACAACAGGAGCAUUUUCCCAGUGAUGGAUUUUAACAGGGUUUUCUGGAGUGCACGCCUUCACCCACUGGGAAGCUGGGCCAGGUGGAAGAUCUGAAUGCUCAAAACACCACCAAGUUCAGAAGCAAUUACCUGUAUUGGUUUCCUAGAGCUGCUGUUACAAAUUAGCAUCAACUCUGUUAAAACAACACCGAUUUUUUUUUUUUAAUCACCUAGUUCUAGAUAGAAAUCUGAAACUGGUUUUCCUCGGUGAAAACCAAGGUGCUGGCAGGGCUGCAUUCCUUCCGAUGUCUUCUUUUCAGUACCCCACCCCCCCACCCCACCUCCCUCCUCUCUCUGCCUUCUUGGUCAGGCCUGGCCAUCUGGCUUUGAGCUGGAAGCUGCCUUCUGAAGAAUACACCCUUUCCCUGGCUAAGCAUUUCUCAACCUCUCCUUCCCCAGAGUUCUGUGUCCUCAGAUGCUCCCCAGUUUUCUCAGGCUCACUUCCCAACUUGAACUUUUCUUUGUCCUUUAAGCAUCCCCAAGCUGGGCGGUGCUGGGAGUAUUGGUGGCAUUCAUUAUGAAUAUUGGUGUCUGCAAGGCGGAGCCGCCACUUCCCAUCUCUGGACCAGGCCGGCCCAUGCAGAAGCACCUCCCACACUUUGUCCCAUUUGGUGCUUCCUUCCAGGCCUAGAUGUUUUCCUGACCACACUGGCAAGGAGAUGGAGGCUUGGAGAAGUUAAGGGACCUGUCCAGGUUCACAUGAGGUCAGGGGCUGAGCUGUAAUCCACACCCUGGAGACCAGAAACCCAGGGUCAUAGCCAUGUUCUUACCUAGAUGGAUUGCUUUUUUAAAAAAACAAAGUAGGAAGUAAUGGUGAUGAGAGGAGGCAUGGUUAAGGUCAUUUGUUUACUUAGUAACCUCUGGCUACCUGCUGGUGUGGAGGAGAGAAGUCAAACGUAAAUACCACAUGGUCCUGGCACUGAGGUCCUUGCAAGACAGAGGUAUUGACAGACACAUACGAAAGUCACUGCAAUGUGGAGGGGAGGGAUCCUGAUGGUUUGGGGAGUAAGGAGGAAGGCUUCUUUAAAGAGGUAUCUGAAUUGGGUUUUGAAGGAUGAAUAGGAGUUUGUUAUUGUGGGAAGAGUGCAAGGAUAGUAUCUAGCAAGAGGUAUUCUAAAGAACCAUUCGUUCGACCAGCAGUUGGGGAAUGCCUAAAAGGCAGGGACCUUGGCUUUUCUCGAUCUCCAGUGCCUUGAGCAAUGCCUGACACAGGCUUGAUAAACGCUACCUUGAGUGAAUAGUCAAGUGGACAUAUUGGGGAACAGAGUGGGGGAAAUUGCAGAAGAAGCAGGUGAAGCUGGCGUGUGAAAGACCUCUUGAGCCACAGCAGGGAUUGGCUCUUAAAGGCGAUCAGGAGCUGCUGGUGGUUAUUGCCCAGGGGAGAUGGGUAAUAAGAUCUGUCCCAUUUUUUUAUGUAAGUAUUUAAGUCUGUGGCUUUUCCUUUAAGGAGGAGGAAAAUGGGAAGACCUUUGGUGUCUUUGAUCAUAAAGAGAAAAAGAAGUUAAGCUGCAGUGAGGUAUUUUCCACUGUGAGAUUGGCAGCGAUCAAAAGCUUGUAGCUUGGGAAGUCAUUACCGUGUACCUUGUUAGAUGGAGUAUAAAGUGAUGCUACCCAUUUGGAGGCAGUGUCUGUUUAAAUUUUAAAUGCGUACUCCCUCUGAUCUAGUGUUUGCUUUGGGUGAAAUGAGGCACUUACUAGGUUAUUUAUUCACCGCUGCAUUGUUUGUAAAAGCAACCCACUGUCCAGUCAGCAGGAGACUGGUUACAUAAAGUUAAGUCCAUCCAUACAAAGAAUAAGGAUGUGUGCCGUGCAGGAUGGUCCUUGAGACCUCUGAUUAAGAGAUGGAAGGAAGAUACAGAACAGGAUGUGGAGUGUGUUUCUUUCUACUUGCUAACAGAAAGUAUGCAUUUAUUUGUAUUGUAUAUGCAUAAAGAAUUUUUUGGAAGGACACAGAAGAAACUGACACUGUCGCCUCUAGUGAGAGGAACUAGGGGGUUAGGGGACCAGGUUUGGAAGGUGGCUUGUCACUUCCAUCCUUUAUUCAAAAGAAAUAAAAUUAAGCUAUCAAAAAUGAAGGAGAUCGGAGUUGCUGUCGUGGCUCGGCAGAAACGACUGUGACGAGCAUCCAUGAGGAUGCAGAUUCCGUCCCUGGCCUUGCUCAGUGGGUUGGGGAUCUGGUGUUGCUGUGAGCUGUGGUGUAGGUCGCAGAUGCGGCUCGGUUCCCAUGUGGCUGUGGCUGUGGUGUAGGCUGAUGGCUGCAGCUCUGAUUCAACCCCUAAUCUGGGAAAUUCCAUGUGUCACAGGUGCAGCCCUAAAAAGACCAAAAAAAAAAAAAAAAAAAGACCUAUGGCACUGGUAGAGAUUGGUUUCUAAUAUUAGUUAAGUGAAAAAAGCACGGUGUGGAACCAGUAUUGUAUUAUGGUACCUUUGGCAGAAACAAAGUAAGCUGUAUUUGGAAGAGUAACAAGAUGUUAGCAAUGAUAAUUUGGCCUGUGGGGUAAGAGGGGGGUGCCGCUGGUUCAGGAAGGAGAACUUACUUUUCACAGUAUGCCAUUUUGUGUAGUUUGGGAAGGCUUCAGCACGUAAAUAAAUUAUCUAGUGAAAGUGAAUUAAUACAAAAAGAGAGAGAGACAUGGAUGGAUGCCUAGGUGGAUGGGUGGGUGGGUAGAUGGGUGGGUGGCUGGCUGCUUGGAUGUGUGGGUUGUGGGAGUGGGUGGAUGGAGAGAUGGGUAGAUGGAUGGAUGGAUGCACUGGUGCAUGGAUGGGUGGGUAGGUGGAUGGAUGGAGAUGUAUGGAUAGAUGAGCUGCCCUGAGGAGGACUAAGUGGGACCAGGACCGGAAGCAGGAAAUGGGUAGGACGCUACUGCAAACCCAGGCAGGGGGUCAUUGGGGCAAGGAUCAGGUUAUUGAAGUCUCACAUACAAACUGAGCUUCUUAUAUACGUAACUGUAUAUAUUAAGUCCUAGCAUUGUUUUCUUACUAGAAAGGCAGAUUCCUUUGGAAUGAGCUUUUUCUGGCAAUUGCUCAGAAACUGUUUUGUAUGUAAUAGCCACCAGCAGUUUAAUCCCCUUUCCACCAGCAGCUUAAGAAUUAUAAGAGGUAUGAAUUCAUCAAAUUAGUCUUUGACAUAAACCACAGCUCUUGAUGACCAGAUUCUUAUUUCCAAGGCUGUCUUCUCAAUGCCCAUGUCCACAGAGGCGUGACCUUUAUCCUUUUUCAGGUUUAGAAGUUUCCUAGCUAAAUCCUUUGUGGGUUAAGGAUCCGGCAUUGCCUUGAGCUGUGUUGUAGGUCACAGAUGUGGCUCCGAUCCCAUGUUGCUGUGGCUGUGGUGUAGGCCGGCAGCUACAUCUCCGAUUUGACCCCUAGCCUGGGAACCUCCAUAUGCCAUGGCUGCAGCCCUAAAAA
Molecule: long non-coding RNA, 3598 nt
Filed under: Sus scrofa (pig)
Lineage: Eukaryota; Metazoa; Chordata; Mammalia; Artiodactyla; Suidae
Description: lncRNA (ENSSSCG00000056779.1)
Source: RNAcentral